GCGGCGGUGGCUGAUGCGGCGGCUGCCCGGGGGGCAGGGCCCGAGCCCGCAGCAGCGGGAGCGGAACUGGUUCAGCGUCCGGUUCGUCGGC
Molecule: transfer RNA, 91 nt
Filed under: Catellatospora chokoriensis
Lineage: Bacteria; Bacillati; Actinomycetota; Actinomycetes; Micromonosporales; Micromonosporaceae
Description: tRNA-Pro
Source: RNAcentral